GACGAACGCUGGCGGCGUGCCUAAUACAUGCAAGUAGAACGCUGAAGAGAGGAGCUUACUCUUCUUGGAUGAGUUGCGAACGGGUGAGUAACGCGUAGGUAACCUGCCUUGUAGCGGGGGAUAACUAUUGGAAACGAUAGCUAAUACCGCAUAACAAUGGAUGGCACAUGUCAUUUAUUUGAAAGGGGCAAUUGCUCCACUACAAGAUGGACCUGCGUUGUAUUAGCUAGUAGGUGAGGUAAUGGCUCACCUAGGCGACGAUACAUAGCCGACCUGAGAGGGGGAUCGGCCACACUGGGACUGAGACACGGCCCAGACUCCUACGGGAGGCAGCAGUAGGGAAUCUUCGGCAAUGGGGGCAACCCUGACCGAGCAACGCCGCGUGAGGGAAGAAGGUUUUCGGAUCGUAAAGCUCUGUUGUAAGUCAAGAACGGGUGUGAGAGUGGAAAGUUCACACUGUGACGGUAGCUUACCAGAAAGGGACGGCUAACUACGUG
This 497-nucleotide ribosomal RNA is filed under the name uncultured bacterium. RNAcentral describes it as "partial 16S ribosomal RNA". It matches the Rfam family "Bacterial small subunit ribosomal RNA", at positions 28 to 507 of the family's 1533-position model. The record is from RNAcentral.